AUUGAACGCUGGCGGCAGGCCUAACACAUGCAAGUCGAGCGAGCGGCGGACGGGUGAGUAAUGUAUGGGGACUGCCCGAUAGAGGGGGAUCACCACUGGACACGGUGGCUAAUACCGCAUACUAUCGGAUAACCCAUAUGGGAGUAGCUAGUAGGUGGGGUAAAGGCACACCUAGGCCACGAUCCCUAGCUGGUCUGAGAGGAUGAUCAGCCACACGGGAACUGAGACACGGUCCAGACUCCUACGGAGGCAGCAGUGGGGAAUAUUGCACAAUGGGCGCAAGCCUGAUGCAGCCAUGCCGCGUGUAUGAAGAAGGCCUUAGGGUUGUAAAGUACUUUCAGCGGGGAGGCGUUACCCGCAGAAGAAGCACCGGCUAACUCCGUGCCAGCAGCCGCGGUAAUAC
Molecule: ribosomal RNA, 403 nt
Filed under: uncultured bacterium
Lineage: Bacteria
Description: partial 16S ribosomal RNA
Rfam family: Bacterial small subunit ribosomal RNA
Source: RNAcentral